GGUUUUGUAGUGUAGCUGGUUAUCACUGCGGAUUCUGAUUGUUUGAGAUUUCCGCCAACCCCGGUUCGAAUCCGGGCAAGACCU
This is a non-coding RNA of Kockiozyma suomiensis, 84 nucleotides long. The record is from the annotation of a GenBank genome assembly. NCBI's taxonomy places the organism in Eukaryota, Fungi, Ascomycota, Lipomycetes, Lipomycetales, Lipomycetaceae.